GGAAGUAAAAGUCGUAACAAGGUCUCCGUUGGUGAACCAGCGGAGGGAUCAUUGCUGGAACGCGCUUCGGCGCACCCAGAAACCCUUUGUGAACUUAUACCUUACUGUUGCCUCGGCGCAGGCCGGCCCCUCCACGGGGGCCCCUCGGAGACGAGGAGCAGCCCGCCGGCGGCCAACCAAACUCUUGUUUCUUAGUGAAUCUCUGAGUAAAAAACAUAAAUGAAUCAAAACUUUCAACAACGGAUCUCUUGGUUCUGGCAUCGAUGAAGAACGCAGCGAAAUGCGAUAAGUAAUGUGAAUUGCAGAAUUCAGUGAAUCAUCGAAUCUUUGAACGCACAUUGCGCCCUCUGGUAUUCCGGAGGGCAUGCCUGUUCGAGCGUCAUUUCAACCCUCAAGCACUGCUUGGUGUUGGGGCACCGCCUGUAAAAGGGCGGGCCCUGAAAUCUAGUGGCGAGCUCGCCAGGACCCCGAGCGUAGUAGUUAUAUCUCGCUCUGGAAGGCCCUGGCGGUGCCCUGCCGUUAAACCCCCAACUUCUGAAAUUUUGACCUCGGAUCAGGUAGGAAUACCCGCUGAACUUAAGCAUAUCAAUAAGCGGAGGAA
RNAcentral lists this ribosomal RNA (601 nucleotides) under fungal endophyte. Its description in RNAcentral is "eukaryotic LSU rRNA". The stretch from base 229 to 382 matches the Rfam family "5.8S ribosomal RNA". Lineage: Eukaryota; Fungi. The record is from RNAcentral.